GCCGUGAUCGUAUAGUGGUUAGUACUCUGCGUUGUGGUACGCACGGCACCCGGUUCGAACCGGUCACGGCA
Non-coding RNA from Ameiurus melas (black bullhead), 71 nucleotides. The record is from the annotation of a GenBank genome assembly. Lineage: Eukaryota; Metazoa; Chordata; Actinopteri; Siluriformes; Ictaluridae.